This 226-nucleotide long non-coding RNA is filed under the name Volvox carteri. Its description in RNAcentral is "long non-coding RNA (VCAR_LNC004122)". The record is from RNAcentral. Lineage: Eukaryota; Viridiplantae; Chlorophyta; Chlorophyceae; Chlamydomonadales; Volvocaceae.
CGCCGUCCUGACGGUGCCCUAAUGUCUAUCACUUAGCUACCGGAUAUGCAUCGGUAGCCCAUAAGGUUCUGGGGUAAGUCUUCCCCAUUAGACAGGCGCAGACCCGGGGUCAAAUCCCCUGGUCGACAACCACACGAGUUGGGAGAGGACCGUUUCCUCAACACGUCCCCUCGGGCCGUAUCCCAACGAGUACCAAGUUCAUCUGCACACUUCACACAAGGCCCAU